GAUGAAGAACGCAGCGAAAUGCGAUACUUGGUGUGAAUUGCAGAAUCCCGUGAACCAUCGAGUCUUUGAACGCAAGUUGCGCCCGAAGCCUCGGCUAAGGGCACGUCUGCCUGGGCGUCACGCAUCGCGUCUCCCCCAAACCGCCAAGGCGGAGGGGAAGGAAGACGGCUUCCCGUGCCUCACCCGGGCGCGGUUGGCCUAAAUUUGGAGCCCGCGGCACUUAGCUCUCGCGGCGAUAGGUGGUGAACAAGGCCUUGGCCGUGCAAACAACCCGCUGCGAAGCUCUAUGUCACGUGCGCUCGUCGGACCCUUUGAAGUUGCCUUUGGUGACUUAAAACCUUUGCGACCCCAGGUCAGGCGGGGCUACCCGCUGAAUUUAAGCAUAUCAAUAAGCGGAGGA
This 400-nucleotide unclassified non-coding RNA is filed under the name soil metagenome. RNAcentral's name for it is "partial contains 5.8S ribosomal RNA, internal transcribed spacer 2, and large subunit ribosomal RNA". The stretch from base 1 to 120 matches the Rfam family "5.8S ribosomal RNA", at positions 35 to 154 of the family's 154-position model. The record is from RNAcentral.